UAUUGUAAACAAGGACAUUUUUGCUGCACUCCAGUUGAACUACUGUGUAUAUUUCAUGGAAACUAAAUUAAUAGGAAAGAUUUAUUUAUAUGUAUUAGUACUAUCUUAAAACAGUAAUUCAGAGGGCUCAUAAUUAAAUUGAAAAUCUGAAAGUAGACUGCAUAAACAUUUCCCAGUUUACAAUAUAAAAACUGGAAUUGAUUUUCUGAAACAAAUGUGAAAUAAUAUUAAAAAUAUGUAUUUAUUCUGAGACAAUCUUUCUUUGAGGAAAUUGAAAGCCAAUACCCUUUAAUCUCAUAUUGAAGUUUAUACAACAUAUGCUUAUUAUACAACCUUAUUCUGUCUUAAAAGUACAAGCAAACUAUCUUAAACUGAAGUUUUUAAAGGAAACUAAAAGUUACUGGAAAAUGAUACAGUUUAUGUCCAGAUGUGCUAAAUAUAUUUUUGUUGUUGAAGUAUUUUCAUAUUUUUUUGUAUAAAAUACCCCAUUAUAUAAAACUCUAAUUCCUAUUGGAUAAUAUUGUGAGUAGUGUACACCAAUAUAUUUUCACUGGAACAAUAACUUAUUUUCAUUUUGCUGUACAAACAAUAAAAUCAGUGUAAGAACAUCAGUAGGCAUUAAUGUAAGUUCUUAUGACCACUGUACUAUUUUAGACAAAUAUUUGGUGUGGGCUUCCAAAAAGAGACGUACAAGAAUAGAGUUAUAGAUUUUGUUAUUCAAUUGUAAAAUGAAUUGGUGCAAAAGGUGGGUAUGAAUCCGACGGUGAAUAAUGUUUAUUUUUUUAUAGUAUUUGGAAAAACAGUUUUUAUAGCCAAAAUAUUUAUAUUAACAUACAAUUUAUUUAUAUGAUAACAGAAAAUAAAAGUAUAUCAAUUAAUCUAGGCCAAGCAAAUACAGAAUUUGGAUUUACUUACUAAAAAUAUUUUUAUUUAAGAAUUAUUAAAUUUUAUUUUCAAAUAAGACAGGUUCAUUAACAGUUUGAUAUGAUAAAAACUGUAUUUCUACUAUGGUAUGAUAAAAACUAUUUCUACUAUGGUAUGAUAAAAACUGUAUUUCUACUAUGGUAUGAUAAAAACUAUUUCUACUAUGAUAAAAACCAUUUCUACUAUGGUAUGAUAAAAACUGUAUUUCUACUAUGGUAUGAUAAAAAGAUAAAAACUAUUUCUACUAUGGUAUGAUAAAAACUAUUUCUACUAUGGUAUGAUAAAAACUGUAUUUCUAUUAUGGUAUGAUAAAAACUAUAUUUAUAGUAUGAUAAUCAUGAACAAGUUAUAGAAGAAAACACAACAUAAUCUAGUCUAUGUACAAAUAGUGUAUUAUAAGAAUCUCUU
Molecule: long non-coding RNA, 1332 nt
Filed under: Mytilus galloprovincialis (Mediterranean mussel)
Lineage: Eukaryota; Metazoa; Mollusca; Bivalvia; Mytilida; Mytilidae
Source: RNAcentral